CGCGGGAUUAGAGUUUGAUCAUGGCUCAGAUUGAACGCUGGCGGCAGGCCUAACACAUGCAAGUCGAGCGGAAACGAGAAUAGCUUGCUAUUCGGCGUCGAGCGGCGGACGGGUGAGUAAUGCCUGGGAAAUUGCCCUGAUGUGGGGGAUAACCAUUGGAAACGAUGGCUAAUACCGCAUAAUAGCUUCGGCUUAAAGAGGGGGACCUUCGGGCCUCUCGCUUCAGGAUAUGCCCAGGUGGGAUUAGCUAGUUGGUGGGGUAAAGGCUCACCAAGGCGACGAUCCCUAGCUGGUCUGAGAGGAUGAUCAGCCACACUGGAACUGAGACACGGUCCAGACUCCUACGGGAGGCAGCAGUGGGGAAUAUUGCACAAUGGGCGCAAGCCUGAUGCAGCCAUGCCGCGUGUAUGAAGAGGGCCUUCGGGUUGUAAAGUACUUUCAGCAGUGAGGAAGGGUGUGUAGUUAAUAGCUGCAUACUUUGACGUUAGCUGCAGAAGAAGCACCGGCUAACUCCGUGCCAGCAGCCGCGGUAAUACGGAGGGUGCGAGCGUUAAUCGGAAUUACUGGGCGUAAAGCGCAUGCAGGUGGUUUGUUAAGUCAGAUGUGAAAGCCCGGGGCUCAACCUCGGAACCGCAUUUGAAACUGGCAGGCUAGAGUACUGUAGAGGGGGGGUAGAAUUUCA
RNAcentral lists this ribosomal RNA (682 nucleotides) under uncultured Vibrionaceae bacterium. Its description in RNAcentral is "bacterial SSU rRNA". It matches the Rfam family "Bacterial small subunit ribosomal RNA", at positions 1 to 671 of the family's 1533-position model. The record is from RNAcentral. Lineage: Bacteria; Pseudomonadati; Pseudomonadota; Gammaproteobacteria; Vibrionales; Vibrionaceae.